CCGUUUCGGCCCAAGACACCUUCGGCUUCGGGCGGCACAUCGGCGAAGGGGCGAGCGGCGACGAGGUGGACGGCGGCGGCGGCUUUGCGACGGAGCGAGGGGACAGGUAAGUCCGACCUCCAGCGAUCUCUGCAUUCCUCAGAGUACUUCCUUCAUUGGGGAGACCAAGUUUUGGUGCUAGGAGGUAGGAGCAAUCCUGCAUGCUGCACCGGCUGUCGGAUCCGUGAUUAUUCAUUAGGAGCAGGAUCCUGGUUGGAUGAAGCCUGGGGUGUUAAUUCCAUGAUGUCGUUAAAUUCAGCAACUCCUUGCUUUUAGGCACGAAAUAAAUGGUAGGGAUCGAUCCACAAAUCUUACACAAAUCAUCAUGAAAAAAAAAUCCUGUUCUGGAGGUGGUUGCAUUCUAGCCAACACAUUUACAAAUCAAAUGCCACUAAUACAAAUUGAUUGCGGUUAGCUUUUCAUCUAAUCAGUUCUACCUCUUUACACUGUAGUUGUAGCCUAAAUCUAGCAACCUCUUUCAAGUACCUGACUAGUUGAUCAACUCAAAUCAAGCCUUGUCAGAAGUUUGGACUUUCACUACCAAGGGCAUCGUCAGAUGAGCACCUCUUCCGUUUCCAUGCCAAGAUAAAGAGCCGAAAACAUAACCUCGAGGAGGCACAUUCACAUGGAAGCUAACUGUGAAAGUCUUCUUUGCACCGUAGUUCUCAAAGUUUAAAACUUCUGGUGUCACUGUUACGUUGAUGCCUCGAGGAGCAGACACCACAGCACGGUAAAUGCUCCUUGGAUUGCCCACAUUUGUCAUAGUUCGAGUAACUGAGUAGCUCCUCUUCAGGUGUGGUAUGGUAAUUGAUGGGUAGUUCAGAGCAGUAGCAGAAGAGGAGGUUCUGUGGGUGCAGGUACCGUUGUCUCCGGUUAUUAGAUGCAAGGAGUGGUCGUCAUGGCUUAUAGCACAUAAGAAUGACCUGUAAUCUUCAGGUUGUGCAUCAAAUAUGACCCCUGGGUUCAGAGCUUUGAUGGGAUCCAUGAAACCCGAGCCGAAGUCGAAGGGGGUUGCAGCCUUUCCAUCAGGGUCCGUGGCUAUGGUUCUUCUUUUCUUAUCCAGUACAGUUGCUGCAAAUGAUAUUCAUCAGAUUGGUUGUAACACUAGUUUAUCUUCUGAAUCUGGUUAUCCAGUGAUACCUGUUGUCAUGAUUGCUGAUUUGAUGGCUGAAGGAUUCCAUGAUGGAUAUACACUUUUGACUAGUGCCGCUAUUCCUGUGACAUGAGGACAUGCCAUGGAAGUUCCUGAUAGAAUAUUGAAGUGCAUGUUCUUCUUAGCAGGAGACCAAGCUGCCAAGAUGUUCAGCCCAGGAGCAGCGACAUCCGGCUACAAAAUGCAUACAUGGAGAAGAAAGUAAUGAAUAUGUCAGUCAAUUUAUCACCUAGGUUCGUCUAUCCAGCAGUUUAGUACUGGUUACCUUGAGAAUCUCAGGUGUUAAUGAACUUGGACCUCUUGAAGAGAAUGCUGCUACCCGUGGUCCAUAUCUCAACCUUAUGAUCGUCUUUGCUGGCAAGAUCUUUGUACUGGCAUGCCUGCAAAAUUAAUUUUAGAGAAAAGACUGGCAUACUAAUAAAUUGCACUUUCUAUAGUAAGCGUUAACAACCUCGUACUCUUGAUGUAAGAAAGAAUUUUGUCACCCAUUUCUUUCCCAACAGCAGUUCCAGGAACAGCAAAGUGAGUAGCAACAUGAUCCCCCAUCUCAUCAAUGAGAAUCAUCCCAGCUGCACCAGCUUCCUUAACAAUCAUACUCGUUGAUAGGCGAGAUUCAGAGGAGCCUCCAGUACGGCGGCAAAUAAGAAUCUUUCCUCUGGCCUUGGUCCUAUUUAAAGAGCUGUCCAGACAAAAGCUAACAGCAAAGGCCACAAAAAAUUCAGUUUGCUCAUAAUCUAAGUCAAGAUUUUCGUUCAAGAUUGUUCUUUGCUUUACCUGGAUUGGUAGGGGGUGAAAUAGCCCGCAUUGGCUUCUGAAGCCGGAAUAGUUCUAACAGAAGUUUUCAUGUGGUACGUACUCAAGCUCUCACCCUUUGCAUCAAGACAACAAUGUUCAGAAGGUAUUCUUAAGAUUGCAUAAGAAAUAAAGAUUGAAGGUGGCAUUUAAGAAUGAAAAUUACCAUUAUGAAGGUGCCAUUUUCCAGUCUGAUAUAUGAGACAAAGGAUCUAUCGGUUGUUCCUGCAGCUACUGUGAGCAUCCAUGGUGCAAGGUUAGUUGCUGAGCCCUGUCUCCCAGCAUUCCCUGCAGAAGAAACAACCAGUAUUCCAUUGCUUGUUGCAUGGAAUGAGCCGAUGGAUAUGGCAUCCCUGAAAUAGUCAUCCUGAGGAUAGUCUGGGCCUAGAGACACAGAUAUAAUGUCAACACCAUCUCUGAUGGCAUCAUCAAAUGCUGCAAGAAUGUCGACAUCGUAACAUCCAGAAUCCCAGCAGGCCUUAUAGGCAGCAAUCCUUGACAUGGGAGCUCCUCCCCGGCCUCCUCCUGUGCCCAAACCUCCAUAAUUCAUGUUUCUGACAAAUCUUCCAGCUGCUAUUGAGGCAGUAUGGCUGCCAUGCCCUGAGCUAUCUCUUGGAGAUAUGAAUUUGAUGGCGUUUUUACUUGAAUCGCCCUCUUCUGUUUGGUAUCCAUUGAGGUAAUACCUACCUCCUAUGAUCUUCCUAUCGUAUCAGGGUAGAUGGGUGAGUUCAGAAGAUCAAUACUGGAUAUUGUGGGUUAAUUUUGAAGCGUGUACCUGUUACAGGUGAAAUUAGAUGGUGAAUUUGCCUCUCCUCUUUGGCAUUGCCCUCUCCAUCUUUUAGGAAUUGGAGGCAUCCCAUGAUCACUGAAACUAGGGGAUUCUGGCCAAAUUCCUGGGAAGGUACAUACACUUGCAUAAAUAAACGGCUAGCUAACAUCUCAUGAUUUUGACAGAAAUGAUUCUGUCAAUCUGAUGGCAUCCUUUUUGUUUCUACCAUUAUGGCCAAACAAUCAUUUGAUGUGUAAGUUGAGCAUGACAGCACAAACAUCAUUUGGUAGGAAAAUAUGCAUGCUUGUUCGGCAUAGAAACAAAUUCUAUUGCAAGUUGCAAUACUGAUAUGUCUUGUCAGUUUGUAGGCUAGCAUACAACUGGAAUUAUUGAUGGAAGAGAAUGUUUUUGGUGCAGUGAUGCUUACAAUGGAAAGAACACAACAAAUAUUCACACUGACCUAAAGAUGUCGAUGCAAUUUGAACUGAGCAUGCUAUUGCAGUUCUACUCACCUGUGUCAAUGAACCCAACAAUGACAUUCUCCUGGUUCUUGGUAGACAAUCCAGGGACCUCACCCUCUGCAUUGGUGGACAAGCCCAUGAAAUCCCACGAAUGGGUGGUGUGCAGUCUCCUCUUUGUGUUUGGGAACACCGAGAAGACACCAGGCAUCUCUGAAGGAAUGAACAUCAGAUUUAGAUUUUCGGCAUCACAGCCAUAUCACCCAGUGGACUCACUUACUAUAGUGCUGCAUGCAUAUUCCUAAAGGUAAAAGCCAAGUGUGGCGAAAUUACCGGCUAAUUUCAUGGCUUGUUCUUUGUUCAGUUUGGCCGCGAAUCCUUGGAAACCGCUGCUGUAAGUGUAGACAUGUGAUGCCUGUGCCUUCUCCAAGCUGUGGAGAGAGACGAAGCAACCAGUCAAGCUUAUAACUCCACUGGAAGCUAGAGUGAUAUCGACAGCUAAGGAAUGGAUAUGAUUUUUUUUCCACGGACCUUCCAUCGUGAACAGCAGCCAGCAUCUGGUAGUGAAGCCUCCUGGUGUCGUGUUGAAGAUCACUGUCGCCCUGCAACCCCUUGCCCAUGUAAACCACAUACACCUGAAGUUGACAUCCAUUUGGAAAGGGUUACACCAUGGGAAGACCUCAAGAACUCAUGAAGAGACCGGCAUAGAAGAGUUAGCAAGCAUGGAGACAAUCCAAUGAAGCAAUGGAGUGCAUCGGAGUAGGCAAAACAGACCUGAGAACCAGAACAGCAGUGGAGGUCACCUAGUAGCACCAGAAAGAGCACGAGGAAGAACACGGCUCUGCCGGGAGAAGAAGCCAUCACAAACUCGCAGACGCACACAGGUGCGCAGAUACGAAGGCAAAGGGAAGGACUGCGGUUUGGAUGGCAAGUGUAUAGGACCAGUUUUGUAUGGAAGCAGCAACUUCCUGAAACUGCUGCCAACUUACUGGAUGCCUGUCAGCAUAAAAGCUUGAGAUCUCUAAAUGCUUUGUACAGGAAUCCCGGAGGAAUGGGUGUCCGUUAACUGCGCUUUUCCUCGUCCCUGCCACUCGCAGUUGUGGACAAGAUGGCAACAAGUUUACAUAAAUGAAGUCAAGGGUGUUGAAAGCGUCAUGAUGCGGUAUGGGUCUAUGGGAACCAUGGAGGCUUAGCUACUGAGAGCAUGACAAAUAGGGUAUCCGAUCUUGGGGAUACAUGAACAUGUAGAAUGGCUGCUUUCGUAGAUAUACCUGUAGAUAUGGGGUAUAAUAGUAUAUAUCCAAUCUUGGCUGUGCCUACUGCCUAUACAGAAAAAUAAAGGGAUACAAGGAGUAUCUUUCUGUCAGACUUGGAUCUGUUUUUACCUUCACUUUUGCAAGAGAAAUUAACUGUAACUUAUGGUACAUGCUUUAUUUUAACCUGUGUAUACAUCUAGUCAAGUUAACAGUAUUAUACACUGAUACAAUAUACACUGCAGAGGGUACUCAUGGUUGCUUUAGUAUCCUGUAUGUAUAAAACACAGUGCAGCAUCAAAUCCAACCCCAACGGGCACGGUUCCUUUCUGAUAAAGCGCGGAUGCCUCUCAAGACGACGUCUCUAUCCGUCUAGGAACAGUGUGUCCACCUCUAUCUGGGUGCCGGUAGCCAAGCCACGCACUUGGCCAUGGAUGGGCACUUGUGCCAGCGACCAAAGGUAGCACCUCCUCUUUUUACCUUUGCCACGGCACCUUUCACUGCUAGCUUGUUUUUUAACCAGGUAACCGUUAUUUUAUUUCUUUCUUUAUUUACUCGUUGCGGCCACGGGCCACGUCAGGGUGCAAAGGCAAGUGGCAGCUGAGCCGAUCAUCGUGUGAUCGCAUCGCACCAUGGUAAAACUUUGCGCGCAGAUUUCCUGCGUGCUCAACCUGAGGAACAGAACCCCUCUGGGCUCCUGAUUUGUCAGCUUAAAGCUCAACAAAGCUCUCGACUCUCGCUCUAUGAUUAAUUAAUCCAACCCAAGCAGCCUAAUCCCGUACCAGAGGCACGUAUGUAUGAGGCUCUAUUUGAACUCUUUGGCUGCUUUACUGAGUGCACGCCACGGCGGCCGGCUUGCUUUACCGCUUAGCCCUGUGUGGGUUUCACCUUUCACGAUGGUCACACACGCUUGGCGCUGUGAAAACUGAAAAACCAACGGUCCGCCGCCAGCACAAUAUCCUUUGCGACCGGAGAAGAAGGGUCGCUCGGAUCCGAGGUAAGCAUAGAGCCAUCGAAGCUUAGCACGCAGAACAAUCCGUCGUUCUUGUUGUAGAGAGCGUCGCGGUAGCCGCUGUCCCAUUUGAGAGUUUGGUCGGUGAUCUGAGUCCACUUAUCGUCGCCGAUGUGGGCAAAGGAUAUCUGACCAUCCGGUCGGUGCAGGAGCAGGACGAUGCGGUCCCUCACCUUGGAGGGGCUGCAGGACAUGGCCACCUUGUAGUACAAGAACAGGCGCAGCUUCUGGGCCUGUUCGCUUCAGCUUAUUCAGCUGGCUUAUCAGCCACUAAACAGUGUUUUCCUCUCACAACAAAUCAGCCGUUUCAGCUUUUCAGCCGGCUUAUAAGCUGAAGCGAACAGGCCAUCUGUGCCGGGUACCGGACCGGGUCGUCGGGGUCCUCGCCCUCCUGGACGCUGUAUUCGAGACUCCCCUGUUCAUCCACAGAGCUCUCGACAUGGUAGAGCGCCAUGACGGGCGGGAGCGCGACCUGCGCGCCCGUCAGGGGGUUGACGAGGUGGAGGUUGGACGCCUCGUCGGCUGCGGCGAGCCAGCCGUGCGAGGACCCGACCAGCGCGCGGCUGCCCAGCGGCGGGUCCGGCAGGCGGACCUUGAACGCCUUGCCGCCGCUCGAGGGGCUGUAGAGCGUGGCGUCGCUGGCGUCGCCGUUGUCGCGAGCCGAGUAGAGGAGGCAUGGUGCCGCGUCCGUGAUGGGGAUGCGGACGCGGCGGACGUCGGAGUAGGCGGCGUACCAGGAGGAGCAGACGGUGCCGGCGCGGAACAGGUCAGGGAUGUCCAGCGCCCGCAUCACCGUCGCCACCAUCUCCUGGGGAAGGCCCGCCCAAUCCGGGUACAACGUCGCCAUGGUAUGCGCCCAGGGCCGGGCGCGAGCCGCCGGCGGCGGAUUAUUUUGUGGGUGGAUCGAGGAGCUCAACCUACCCCCUAGGCUACCUCGAAAGGGGAUUGGGAAAAAAAUCCGUGCUUUGGUGGAACUCAUCGGCCGGCGCCGCCGCUGCCGUUACUGGAUUUACUAGAGUCGGGGGCGCGCCGCUGGCGCGCCAAUUUUACGUGCCUGCUGAGAAUCCAUCAUACUACUAAUGACACAGUAACUACUCCUAAUCAAUAGUUAUGUUACUACUAAUGACACAAUUAGUAACUAAUCAAUAGUUAUGUACUACAAAUGCUAAUGACCGUCCGGUUUGAGGUGGUAUUUGAAAUUGAACAAUUAUGGGGGUGGCUUUGCUCAGGAGAAACACAGUGGCCACAUCGGAUCGGCUUCAGUUCAUAUAACUUGCAUGAAAAUUUUGUAACAGGUUGAACAAUGCAAGGAUGUGCGAUUGUCGCGGAGAUCGACGAUCUCUUUUUCUAAACAGAACAACCACGAAUCAAGCCCUGUUCAAGGUAGCCAUUGUGUGAAUCAAGUGCAAAUGUGAGGGUCACUUUUACCUGUAGUAAAAUAUCUACUGCAUCUGCAUGGACCAAAC
This 6942-nucleotide long non-coding RNA is filed under the name Setaria italica (foxtail millet). Its description in RNAcentral is "long non-coding RNA (SITA_LNC003200)". The record is from RNAcentral. Lineage: Eukaryota; Viridiplantae; Streptophyta; Magnoliopsida; Poales; Poaceae.